UACGAAGGGAGCUAGCGUUGUUCGGAAUCACUGGGCGUAAAGCGCGCGUAGGCGGCUUUUCAAGUCAGGGAUGAAAUCCCACAGCUUAACUGUGGAACUGCCUUUGAAACUGUAAAGCUGGAAUGCAAGAGGGGAUAGCGGAAUUCCUAAUGUAGAGGUGAAAUUCGUAGAUAUUAGGAAGAACACCAGUGGCGAAGGCGGCUCACUGGCCCGGUACUGACGCUGAGGCGCGAAAGCGUGGGGAGCGAACAGG
RNAcentral lists this ribosomal RNA (253 nucleotides) under uncultured bacterium. Its description in RNAcentral is "partial 16S ribosomal RNA". It matches the Rfam family "Bacterial small subunit ribosomal RNA", at positions 524 to 776 of the family's 1533-position model. The record is from RNAcentral.